Molecule: ribosomal RNA, 461 nt
Filed under: uncultured bacterium
Lineage: Bacteria
Description: SSU rRNA
Rfam family: Bacterial small subunit ribosomal RNA
Source: RNAcentral
AGGACGAACGCUGGCGGCGUGCUUAACACAUGCAAGUCACGGGGGCCCGCAAGGGCAACCGGCGAACGGGUGCGUAACACGUGAGCAACCUGCCUUUGUGUGGGGGAUAGCCGGGCUAACGCCCGGGUAAUACCGCAUACGGUCACCGAGAGGAGUCUCUUGGUGAAGAAACCUCCGGGGCACGAAGAGGGGCUCGCGGCCUAUCAGCUAGUUGGCGGGGUAAUGGCCCACCAAGGCGACGACGGGUAGCUGGUCUGAGAGGAUGGCCAGCCACAUUGGGACUGAGAGACGGCCCAGACUCCUACGGGAGGCAGCAGUGGGGAAUCUUGCGCAAUGGCCGAAAGGCUGACGCAGCGACGCCGCGUGUGGGAUGAAGGCAUUCGUGUCGUAAACCGCUUUUACGGGAAGAAGAAUUUGACGGUACCGUCGAUAAGCCCGGCUAACUACGUGCCAGCAGCCGC